GCCCAAAGCCAGAGGCAGGAACUCCCCAGAUCCUCCCAGGGUAGCAUGGGAGGAUGCCGCCUCCUCCAGGAAGCUCUCUAGCGCUUUUCCGAGUCCUGGAGCCAGGCGGGACUUCUCUGUGGUCGCCUAGAAGGGUAUGAACUUAGGGCAUCCCCAUCUGGGCUGUGAAGGUUUCUGACUUGGGGACCAGGUGCUCAGACCUUCCUGGAUGCUGCUUUCCACAAUAUCUCUACCAGGCAGGCAGGUUCUCUUCAUUUUGCAAAUUUGGUGAAACAGCAUUUGUAAAACUUUAGAAGCUUCCUUGGCUCACACAGGUGGUAGUGGCCCUGUCAGGAUUUGACCCAGGCUCUCGGAUUCCAGAGUUCCUGAAUUUAACCACCUGUACUGUGAUGCCUCCUUAUCAUGUGUGCAUCGUGCAUUACUAUUUUUUAUAGCCUGUAGGGUACUGAGCACCAUGCACACCUACAGUGAUCACAGGCACUGCCUACUGGAAGGUCUUCUUUGGCUGGGUUCCAGUUUCCUCAGACGAUGUAGGGCAGGGAGUUCCACUUGUUAGCAUAUCCCACAGGGCCUUUCUCUUCAAAUGGACCCCAGCAGCCAACCACACAGCUGCCUCAGCAAGCGUAGGAGAUGGCACAUCAGAGACCAACAAUUGUCAGCACAGCAAAACUGGGCAUUUCUUUUCUUACUGAGCUUUGCAGCUACCUACACAGUUGUGUGUGGCAUCUCCUCCUGGGUGCAAGGACAUGAGAUGACAUCAGGGUCUUGCUGUGUCAUCCAGGCUGGAGUGCAGUGAUAUGAGCAUGGCUCACUGCAGCCUCGACCUCCCAGCUUCAAGCAAUGCUCCCACCUUGGCCUCCCAAAGCGCUGGGAUUACAGGCAUGAGCCACCAUGCCUGGCCAUUGCCAUUGCACUUCAGCUGGUUCUCCUGAACCUUGAAUUAUCUUAGGAAAGAUUGUAUUUUCAGGAAUUAAGUCUAUUGGAGACACAGCAGGACUCCACAGCCAGCUAGAUUUGGAUAAAAUGACUGCCUCAAGGCCAGUGUGUUGACUUCUGACCAGUCUCAUCUGAACCCACACCCUUUAACAUAUAUACAAAACACCUGAAGGGUUGGGCUGCCAGCUUUCUUUAGGAUGAUAGAGGGCAGGUUAAGUUUGUUUGACAUAACUAGAAGAGGUGGAGCCUCUUCCUAAUGGAGCAAGGUCCAUUUAUGGCAAACUGUGGUCCCCCACCACUAUCAGCUACUUCUGGAUAGCUUUUGCUUAAAGUUGAUGAGAUAUUGUUUCUUUCACUAGAAGAAAAUGAAUGAGUUGGUGAUCCCAAA
This 1324-nucleotide long non-coding RNA is filed under the name Homo sapiens (human). Its description in RNAcentral is "long intergenic non-protein coding RNA 904". Lineage: Eukaryota; Metazoa; Chordata; Mammalia; Primates; Hominidae. The record is from RNAcentral.